UGUUGCCCAGGUUGGAGUGCAGUGAUGCAGUCAUAGUUCACUGCAGCCUCAAACUCCUCAGUUCAAGUGAUCCACCUGCUUUGGCCUCCCACAGCGCUGGAAUUACAGGCAUGAGCCAGCACACUCGGCCAAGAAUCUCAUUUUUUAGCCUCACUUUUAAAAAAUAAAAUAGAAAGUAUACUGCAUAAAGAAAAAAAAUGUGCAGCUUCAUUAAGUUUCCCUUUUGAAUACACCCAUGUAACAAGCAUCCUGAUGGAGAAACAGAACGUCACCAGCAUCCUAGAAACCUUCCUUGGCUUCCUUCCAAUCAUGGCACACCUGUCUUCCAAAGGUAAAUGCUAUCCUGAUUUCUGCUACUGUAAUUAGUUUGAUCAGUUUUGGCACUUUAUACCAAUGCAACUGUUCAAUAUUUUAUUCUUCCAUGCCUUGCUUCUUACAUUCAACAUUAUGUUUAUGAAACCCAUCCAUACUGUGUGUAAUACAGAGUGUUUGUUUUCACGGCUGCAUAAUAUUCCAUUGCAUGAAUACUCCAAACAUUAUUUGCCCAUUUUACUGUUGAUAGACACCCUGGCCGUGAAGAGGAAAGUCCCAAGUGCCAUUGGGUUGUGACAGUACUGUGAGAGACUUUACCUAGGCAUUUAUGUCUUUGAAUUUUGCUUUGAAUCAUGUUCUUCUUUGAAUAUAUGUGUAAAUGCUGGCUGCUAAUUAAUAUAUAAGGUUGUCACAUGAGUUUAAAAGCAUUAUUUCAGCCAAGCGCAGUGGUUCAUGCUUGUAAUCCCAUCACUUUGGGAAGCUAGGCAGAAGAAUUGCUUGAGCCCAAGAGUUCAAGACCAGCCUAAGCAACAUAGCAGGACUUCUAUAAAUAAGAGCGUAUUUUGUGGAAAGUUUUACGGAGUGACGAGUAUGCUCUGUGCUCUUGGGGACCACUACUCCAGGCAAUUAAUUGUCCUGGCAACACCGUCACUUGGCAACACAGCCCCCUGGUGGCAGCCACCUGAACUGCAAUCUUACCUCAGAAAAAGUUAAUUGCUGUUUUUCAAACCGGGCAUUAUAGCAAGUGUCACAACCCAGGACAUAAUUUAUACUUAGACCAGUAAUCAUUUAUGUGAAUAAAAGUGCUCCAUCUCCAUGGCAUUGUAUCUAAUCAGGAUACAAGUCCAUCUCUAAAAUAAUGAUAAAAAUUUUUUAAAGAACUACCAUUUAUCAAGUACUUCCUGUGUCUGGUACCGUGCCACACCCUUCACAUACAGUAUUCAGCGUCAUCCCUCCAGCAGUGCUGCGGAGUGGCCAUUGUUGUCACCUUUUAGAGACAAGGAAGCAGAGGCUUGCAGAUGUUCAGGAAUCAUCUCAAGGUAAAUGGAGCCAGGAUGGCUUCUCCCACAAUCAUGAUCUCCUCUGCCCCCUGCGAUUGGAGGCACCUGGCUGUUCCACGCUCACUCAAGGUUCAUUCCCACAGACCAGCCCCCACCCCGAGGAGGGCUGGAGUCAGAGAAGAGCUCACUUUUUCUCCUGUGGCUCUCUGCUGGGAGGCACGUACUUCUAGUUCCUCUUCCCUCGUCCAUACCGCCCAGGUGGACAAGUCGUUUUUCUGCUAGUAGAAGCCCAAGGCAUUGUUCGGGGCACAUUGUACUAGCGCCUGGGAUUCAUGUGGGUGUCUUCCCCAUCUUUCUGUGCCCAGGCAGUGUCAGGUUGGCCUGUCCUCCGCCCCUCCUUGACUGCUCAUGACCAGGUGGCAGGUAGAAUAACCAACUUGCCCCACUUUGCCCAGGACCUUCUCCAUUUUUGCACUGAAAAUCUCCCAUCUCAGGAACCCCCUUGGCUCCAAACAAGCUGCCUUUCCCCCUGGAUCUUGGGAAAGUCAGGCCCAAAUUGCACCACAGAUUCAGCUGUCCUAGAUCCUGUGAGAGGAUGAGAAACUCGUUAGGCCUCCUGGCUUAUGAUGCACUGGCCAAUCCAGCAAACCAGAGCUCUGCGUUGGGAUUGAGGAUUAACAGGUGCUUG
RNAcentral lists this long non-coding RNA (2001 nucleotides) under Homo sapiens (human). Its description in RNAcentral is "HSALNT0219340". The record is from RNAcentral. Lineage: Eukaryota; Metazoa; Chordata; Mammalia; Primates; Hominidae.